Long non-coding RNA from Oncorhynchus tshawytscha (Chinook salmon), 1257 nucleotides. The record is from Ensembl. Lineage: Eukaryota; Metazoa; Chordata; Actinopteri; Salmoniformes; Salmonidae.
UUACAGCUUUUCAUUUUUAUUCAUUUGUAAAAAACACAACUUUGACAUUGUGUUUAGGCCAGAGACAAAAUGUGCUAAAGUCAAGGAUCCUUUCUCUGUAGAAAGUACAUAACAGCAUUAACACAAAUGUGCACAGUAAGCUAUAACAAUGUUUAUUAGGUGAUGAUGAUCAUACAACUCAUAUAAAAUAUUUAUUUGUGUUGAUAGUGGGCCAUUUCGGUCACGAUCAGUUGAAUAAGAAUUCUGUGGAAAUGAUGUUCAAUAUUCAUAGAUACAAGAGAAAGUGUCCUGACGGUUUUGUGGAAGGUUGCAAAUGGCACUAGAUGAUUGUGUAAAGGUGUUGCUUUAAAAAGAGUGUUAGGAUUGAGGAGUGGUCAUGCACAGGGUCAGACACACCUCCAUCCUUACAACAGCAAUAACAAGGGAGUGGGAUAGCUUAUGGAAUACAGAAAGAAACCAGCUGAGAUACAAGGUGAUACAAUACUUGAUCAAAGAAAUUAACAUUGGAACAAAUACAAAAAGUGAUUGGUCAACAGGAAGGGUAUGGUGUGAAGGUAAAGUGAUUGGUCAACAGGAAGUGUGUGAAGUUAAAGUGAGUAUAACUUGUGUUUUUAAUGCUGGGUGCAAUCCUGUCAAACAAUAAACCUAUAUAGGUAAGUGAAACCAUGGUAACAUGAUGGAUGGGUACAGCACUCAAGUCGACAUCAGAAGGUUCCUAGAGAGACCAGCUCUCAGAGAAAACACACCUCUCACAGUACAACUAUAAGACAACAUUUCAUUGUUUAUAUGGCAUUGUGCGACACCACAAUUCUCCAUUUGUAUAAAAAAAAGUCACAUUCGAUAUAGUUGGCCACUCAAUAAUCUAAUACUAAAUUAAGUGGAAACAUUCACUGAGUGGACAAAACAUUAAGAACACCUGAUCUUUCCAUGACAGACAAUCCAGGUGAAAGCUAUGAUCACUAAUUGAUGUCACCUGUUAAAUCCACUUCAAUCAGUGUAGAUGAAGGGGAGGAGACAGGUUAAAGAAGGAUUUUUAAGCAUUGAGACAAUUGAGACAUGGAUUGUGUCUGUGUGCCAUUCAGAGGGUCAAUAGGGAAGACAAAAUAUUUAAGUGCCUUUGAACGGGGUAUGGUAGUAGGUGCCAAGCGCACCGGUUUGUUUCAAGAACUGCAACACUGCUGGGUUUUUCACGCUCAACAGUUUCUUGUCCAACACCCAAAGGACAUCCAGCCAACUUGACACAACUGUGGGAAGCAU